GGCUCAGUAACGCGUAGUCAAUCUACCCUAUGGACGGGAAUAACCUCGGGAAACUGAGAAUAAUGCCCGAUAGAACAUUAUGCCUGGAAUGGUUUAUGUUUUAAAUGAUUUAUCGCCAUAGGAUGGGACUGCGGCCUAUCAGUUUGUUGGUGAGGUAAUGGCCCACCAAGACUAUUACAGGUACGGGCUCUGAGAGGAGUGGCCCGGAGAUGGGUACUGAGACACGGACCCAGGCCCUAUGGGGCGCAGCAGGCGAGAAAACUUUGCAAUGUGCGAAAGCACGACAAGGUUAAUCCGAGUGAUUUCUGCUAAAGAAAUCUUUUGCUAGUCCUAGAAACACUAGUGAAUAAGGGGUGGGCAAGUUCUGGUGUCAGCCGCCGCGGUAAAACCAGCACCUCAAGUGGUCAGGAUGAUUAUUGGGCCUAAAGCAUCCGUAGCUCGUUUUGUAAGUUUUCGGUUAAAUCCAUACGCUUAACGUAUGGGCUGCCGGGAAUACUGCAUAACUAGGAAGUGGGAGAGGUAGACGGUACUCGGUAGGAAGGGGUAAAAUCCUUUGAUCUAUUGAUGACCACCUGUGGCGAAGGCGGUCUACCAGAACACGUUCGACGGUGAGGGAUGAAAGCUGGGGGAGCAAACCGGAUUAGAUACCCGGGUAGUCCCAGCUGUAAACUAUGCAAACUCAGUGAUGCAUUGGCUUGUGGCCAAUGCAGUGCUGCAGGGAAGCCGUUAAG
This 731-nucleotide ribosomal RNA is filed under the name uncultured archaeon. Its description in RNAcentral is "bacterial SSU rRNA". It matches the Rfam family "Archaeal small subunit ribosomal RNA", at positions 87 to 819 of the family's 1478-position model. The record is from RNAcentral.